Molecule: small RNA, 120 nt
Filed under: Marmota monax (woodchuck)
Lineage: Eukaryota; Metazoa; Chordata; Mammalia; Rodentia; Sciuridae
Source: RNAcentral
GCUGAGCACGGUGGUGCAUGCCUAUAAUCCCAGUGACUUGGAGGCUGAGGCAGGAGGCUUGCAAUUUUGGGGCCAGCCUCAGCAACUGAGGCCCUAAGCAUCUUAGCAAGGCUGUCUCAA